Long non-coding RNA from Bos taurus (domestic cattle), 1107 nucleotides. The record is from Ensembl. NCBI's taxonomy places the organism in Eukaryota, Metazoa, Chordata, Mammalia, Artiodactyla, Bovidae.
CUCUUUACAACCCUACGGACCAUAGCCCGCCAGGCUCUUCUGUCCAUCGGAUUCUCCAGGCAAGAAUGCUGGAGUGAGUUACUAUGUCCUCCUCCAGGGAAUCUUCCUGAUCCAAGAAUGAAACCUGCGUCUUAUCUGUCUCCUGCAUUGGCAGGAAUAAAGAUAACAUAAGGGGAGUCUCUCAAGAGGAUUGGAGACUUCAGUACUGGCCAACCACUUGUGACUAUAAUGAGACAUCCUGAGAUGGAGAUGAGUGCAUGAAUUUGUAAGUCAAAACACAAGGUUCCAGUUACGACCAGUUAAUACUACAGUACGUGAUGGCAUCACUGACUCGAUGGACGUGAGUCUGAGUGAACUCCGGGAGUUGGUGAUGGACAGGGAGGCCUGGCGUGCUGUGAUUCAUGGGGUUGAAAGGAGUCGGACACGACUGAGCAACUGAACUGAACUGAACACUAUCUAAGGCUGAAUGAGGGGAUAUGGGACCUCGGAUUCAGAGGAAUAACAAGCAUAUUUGGAGGGUCAAGUGUAAAAUAUACACAGAUUUUGGACUUAACCUCCAAGUUGUUCAAGGGUCAAUUGUAUAUGUAUACAUAUAAUCACUCAAUUAUUUAUUGAUUCAAUCAGUGAGUAUCUAUUAAGUAUUUACUAAGUACCAUAUGCAGUUUUUAUGCUAAGUAUAAAAUAAAACAAUGUAUACAUGUUAAAGUUUAUCAUUAUAUAUGCGUAUCUAUAUGUUUAUAACUCCAUAGAAAAUUUAUUUUAAAGUGCCGUACAACAAAAAUAUAAUGUAAGUCACAUAUGUAAUUUAAAAUUUCCUAGUAGCUGUAGUAAAAUGGCUUUAUUAAAGGUGAAAUUAAUUUUACUUAUAUAUUUUAUUUUACAUAGUGUAUCCAAGAUAUUGUCAUUCUAACAUGUAAAUGUAAAACAAUUAUUCAUGAUAUAUUUCACACUUUUUUAGUCUUCAAAAUCCAUCACAGAUUUUAUACUUAGCACAUCUCAGAACAGGCCAGAGCUUAAGUUCACAACAAUCACACGUAGUUAGUGGCAUCUGUUGGAUAUUUCAGGUCUAGAAUAACAUAUAAAAACUGAUUGGGAGAUGGAAGAGGG